RNAcentral lists this ribosomal RNA (254 nucleotides) under uncultured bacterium. RNAcentral describes it as "partial 16S ribosomal RNA". It matches the Rfam family "Bacterial small subunit ribosomal RNA", at positions 524 to 776 of the family's 1533-position model. The record is from RNAcentral.
GACGAACCGUGCAAACGUUGUUCGGAAUCACUGGGCGUAAAGAGCUCGUAGGCGGUUCGGUAAGUCAGGUGUGAAAUCUCCACGCUCAACGUGGAGGCGCCACCUGAAACUGCCGUGACUCGAGUCCGGUAGGGGAGUGUGGAAUUCCCGGUGUAGCGGUGAAAUGCGCAGAUAUCAGGAGGAACACCAAUGGCGAAGGCAGCUCGCUGGGACGUGACUGACGCUGAGACGCGAAAGCGUGGGGAGCAAACAGG